Molecule: small RNA, 1270 nt
Filed under: Drosophila yakuba
Lineage: Eukaryota; Metazoa; Arthropoda; Insecta; Diptera; Drosophilidae
Description: GE28753
Source: RNAcentral
UUAGUGGAAUACAAAAGAAAAUUGGAAGAAUGAGGAUUACAAAAUGUAUUCUAAGUAAUAAUCCGUUCUAAAAGUGAUUCGAAAUAAUCGUAAAAAGUGUUUCGCCGCCGAAAAUCCGCUGGAAAGCCAAUCCGACUGCAGAGGAUGAUUGGACCUCAGUUGGCCGAGAUAAUCAGGCAAUUUACGGCACUGCUCACGAGGACGAAAGCUGGAGGAUUGGCGGGGAUUGGUGGUAAUCAGGAUGAGUAUGGCACAUCGGGGCAAAGGCCAAGGUCAACAAGGAAUUCCAGAGCCCAAUGAGAUGAUAUUUUAUUCAUACUCGCACGAGUGAGAUAGAAGGCACUACGCGGCCUAAGCGAAUUUCAAAUUCCGUUUCAUAUUAUGUUUGCCAAAGGAUUCGUUUUCUGGCAAGGACCUCAAACUGCUCAAGCUGCUCCUGGUUGGGAAAGUAGCAGAGGAUUUGCACUCGAAAAUUGCCGACAACUUUUAGCAAUAUAAAACAGAUUAAGGAAUUACUCACAGAAAAGAAGGCAAACUUUGUCAAGGAUAAUAAGAGGGAAAUACUGGCGCAAGCUGGAUGGCAGAUGGCGAAUGGCGGAUGGCGGAUGGAUACAACUUUUGCCGAAUCAAACGGCGUAAAAAUUGACUCGGCAGACGCACUUCACCACGCCCCUGGGAUGCAGCCACGCCCCUCGGAUGCUGCAACUGCAACUGCCUCUGCAUCUUGUUAGCCGCGCAAGUUUCGUGUUGUGUACUUUGCCCAGCAACUUUUCCCGGCCAGGAGCCAAAGGACAAAGGACACAAUUGCAUUGCGAGCGUCAUUAAAAUUUAUGCCUCGACAUUUUUUUUGUAUUCUCUCCCUUUUGUGCGAAUAGUGGGCAGAAAAGGAGGCGCUGCGUCCUGGGGAGCCUGUGUGCAAUUUUAAUGAGUUGGAAAUGAUUUGUGCGGGUAACUGGCCGCCAGUUGCCACUCCCCCGUUGCGCCCACGCCCCUCUGCUGCUGAUGCAGCAGUCGCCACGCAACAGGACACGAUAAAAAAGGGGGAACUGCCACGCCCACUGACCCAUCCCGUUCCGCCCACGCAGCGGGUUCAAUUUACUGUGCAAAAUAUGACCGUAUCAACGGUGACAUUAGAGAUCAUGUUGUCAUCCUCACUUUGCAUCUCCUGCAACGACUGACACUUGAACCCAUGCCUACACUGUGCGAAAUCGUUGGCAUUCAAUUGGAAUUUUUAAGUUGAGUGACUACUGCGCCACUACUCACUUGAUGU